RNAcentral lists this ribosomal RNA (492 nucleotides) under uncultured bacterium. RNAcentral's name for it is "partial 16S ribosomal RNA". It matches the Rfam family "Bacterial small subunit ribosomal RNA", at positions 29 to 507 of the family's 1533-position model. The record is from RNAcentral.
AGUGAACGCUGGCGGUAGGCCUAACACAUGCAAGUCGAACGGCAGCACAGUAAGAGCCUGCUCUUACGGGUGGCGAGUGGCGGACGGGUGAGGAAUACAUCGGAAUCUACUUUUUCGUGGGGGAUAACGUAGGGAAACUUACGCUAAUACCGCAUACGACCUACGGGUGAAAGCAGGGGAUCUUCGGACCUUGCGCGAUUGAAUGAGCCGAUGUCGGAUUAGCUAGUUGGCGGGGUAAAGGCCCACCAAGGCGACGAUCCGUAGCUGGUCUGAGAGGAUGAUCAGCCACACUGGAACUGAGACACGGUCCAGACUCCUACGGGAGGCAGCAGUGGGGAAUAUUGGACAAUGGGCGCAAGCCUGAUCCAGCCAUACCGCGUGGGUGAAGAAGGCCUUCGGGUUGUAAAGCCCUUUUGUUGGGAAAGAAAAGCAGCAGGUUAACACCCCGCUGUUCUGACGGUACCCAAAGAAUAAGCACCGGCUAACUUCGUG